Molecule: ribosomal RNA, 739 nt
Filed under: Salmonella enterica subsp. enterica serovar Agona
Lineage: Bacteria; Pseudomonadati; Pseudomonadota; Gammaproteobacteria; Enterobacterales; Enterobacteriaceae
Description: bacterial LSU rRNA
Rfam family: Bacterial large subunit ribosomal RNA
Source: RNAcentral
GUGACUGCGUACCUUUUGUAUAAUGGGUCAGCGACUUAUAUUCUGUAGCAAGGUUAACCGUAUAGGGGAGCCGCAGGGAAACCGAGUCUUAACCGGGCGUUAAGUUGCAGGGUAUAGACCCGAAACCCGGUGAUCUAGCCAUGGGCAGGUUGAAGGUUGGGUAACACUAACUGGAGGACCGAACCGACUAAUGUUGAAAAAUUAGCGGAUGACCUGUGGCUGGGGGUGAAAGGCCAAUCAAACCGGGAGAUAGCUGGUUCUCCCCGAAAGCUAUUUAGGUAGCGCCUCGUGAAUUCAUCUCCGGGGGUAGAGCACUGUUUCGGCUAGGGGGCCAUCCCGGCUUACCAACCCGAUGCAAACUGCGAAUACCGGAGAAUGUUAUCACGGGAGACACACGGCGGGUGCUAACGUCCGUCGUGAAGAGGGAAACAACCCAGACCGCCAGCUAAGGUCCCAAAGUCAUGGUUAAGUGGGAAACGAUGUGGGAAGGCCCAGACAGCCAGGAUGUUGGCUUAGAAGCAGCCAUCAUUUAAAGAAAGCGUAAUAGCUCACUGGUCGAGUCGGCCUGCGCGGAAGAUGUAACGGGGCUAAACCAUGCACCGAAGCUGCGGCAGCGAACGUAUCACUUAAAGCGAUUCAGCGGGUUACGAUUGACGGAGCGAAGCGACGUCAAAGCGUAUACAAAGUCGAGUCGGUUUAAGGAUACGUUCGUUGGGUAGGGGAGCGUUCUGUAAGCCUG